Caerostris darwini is the source of this 109-nucleotide non-coding RNA. The record is from the annotation of a GenBank genome assembly. Lineage: Eukaryota; Metazoa; Arthropoda; Arachnida; Araneae; Araneidae.
AACGGCCGUACCAUGCUGAAUAUACCGGUUCUCGUUAGAUCACCGAAGUCAAGCAUCAUUGGGCGCGGUCAGUACUUGGGUGGGUGACCACCUGGGAACACCGCGUGCC